UGCCGACCCUCAGUAGGA
This 18-nucleotide small nuclear RNA is filed under the name Arabidopsis thaliana (thale cress). Its description in RNAcentral is "snRNA_02122". The record is from RNAcentral. Lineage: Eukaryota; Viridiplantae; Streptophyta; Magnoliopsida; Brassicales; Brassicaceae.